This 279-nucleotide ribosomal RNA is filed under the name uncultured bacterium. RNAcentral describes it as "partial 16S ribosomal RNA". It matches the Rfam family "Bacterial small subunit ribosomal RNA", at positions 506 to 784 of the family's 1533-position model. The record is from RNAcentral.
UGCCAGCAGCCGCGGUAAUACAGAGGUGGCAAACGUUAUUCGGUAUCACUGGGCUUAAAGAGUUCGUAGGCGGCCAUGUAGGUCAGGUGUGAAAUCCCACAGCUCAACUGUGGAACUGCGCUUGAAACCACAUGGCUUGAGGGAGAUAGAGGUGAGCGGAACUGAUGGUGGAGCGGUGAAAUGCGUUGAUAUCAUCAGGAACACCGGUGGCGAAAGCGGCUCACUGGAUCUUUUCUGACGCUGAGGAACGAAAGCUAGGGUAGCGAACGGGAUUAGAUA